Molecule: ribosomal RNA, 253 nt
Filed under: uncultured bacterium
Lineage: Bacteria
Description: partial 16S ribosomal RNA
Rfam family: Bacterial small subunit ribosomal RNA
Source: RNAcentral
UACGAAGGGGGCUAGCGUUGUUCGGAAUUACUGGGCGUAAAGGGCGCGUAGGCGGUACUUCAAGUCAGGCGUGAAAGCCCCGGGCUCAACCUGGGAACCGCGCUUGAGACUGGAGAACUAGAGUUCGGGAGAGGAUGGUGGAAUUCCCAGUGUAGAGGUGAAAUGCGUAGAUAUCUGGAGGAAUACCGGUGGCGAAGGCGGCAUCCUGGACCGACAUUGACGCUGAACGGCGAAAGCUAGGGGAGCAAACGGG